Molecule: ribosomal RNA, 591 nt
Filed under: Tathicarpus butleri (Butler's frogfish)
Lineage: Eukaryota; Metazoa; Chordata; Actinopteri; Lophiiformes; Antennariidae
Description: partial 16S ribosomal RNA
Rfam family: Bacterial large subunit ribosomal RNA
Source: RNAcentral
AAAAACAUCGCCUCCUGCACACUAUGUAUAGGAGGUCCCGCCUGCCCAGUGACUAUAUGUUCAACGGCCGCGGUAUCAUGACCGUGCAAAGGUAGCGCAAUCACUUGUCUUUUAAAUAAAGACCCGUAUGAAUGGCCCAACGAGGGCUUAACUGUCUCCUCUUCCUAGUCAAUGAAAUUGAUCUCCCCGUGCAGAAGCGGGGAUCCCUCCAUAAGACGAGAAGACCCUGUGGAGUUUUAGACACUAGGCAGCCUUCCCCCACCGUCCCCACAAGGACAUAUUACAAGAACCUGCCCCUGUGUCUUUGGUUGGGGCGACCACGGAGCACAAAAACCCUCCACGCGGAACGGAGCCACUGCCCCUUAAACAAGGGCCACCGCCCUAAUUACUAGAACCUCUAACCUAUGAUCCGGCACGCCGAUUAACGGACCAAAUUACCCCAGGGAUAACAGCGCAAUCUCCUUUUAGAGACCUUAUCAAAAAGGAGGUUUACGACCUCGAUGUUGGAUCAGGACAUCCUAAUGGCGCAGCCACUAUUAAGGGUUCGUUUGUUCAACGAUUAAAGUCCUACGUGAUCUGAGUUCAGACCGG